AGUCUGAUGGAGCAACGCCGCGUGAGUGAAGAAGGGUUUCGGCUCGUAAAGCUCUGUUGUUAAAGAAGAACGUGGGUGAGAGUAACUGUUCACCCAGUGACGGUAUUUAACCAGAAAGCCACGGCUAACUACGUGCCAGCAGCCGCGGUAAUACGUAGGUGGCAAGCGUUAUCCGGAUUUAUUGGGCGUAAAGCGAGCGCAGGCGGUCUUUUAAGUCUAAUGUGAAAGCCUUCGGCUCAACCGAAGAAGUGCAUUGGAAACUGGGAGACUUGAGUGCAGAAGAGGACAGUGGAACUCCAUGUGUAGCGGUGAAAUGCGUAGAUAUAUGGAAGAACACCAGUGGCGAAGGCGGCUGUCUGGUCUGUAACUGACGCUGAGGCUCGAAAGCAUGGGUAGCGAACAGGAUUAGAUACCCUGGUAGUCCAUGCCGUAAACGAUGAUUACUAAGUGUUGGAGGGUUUCCGCCCUUCAGUGCUGCAGCUAACGCAUUAAGUAAUCCGCCUGGGGAGUACGACCGCAAGGUUGAAACUCAAAAGAAUUGACGGGGGCCCGCACAAGCGGUGGAGCAUGUGGUUUAAUUCGAAGCUACGCGAAGAACCUUACCAGGUCUUGACAUCUUCUGCCAACCUAAGAGAUUAGGCGUUCCCUUCGGGGACAGAAUGACAGGUGGUGCAUGGUUGUCGUCAGCUCGUGUCGUGAGAUGUUGGGUUAAGUCCCGCAACGAGCGCAACCCUUAUUACUAGUUGCCAGCAUUCAGUUGGGCACUCUAGUGAGACUGCCGGUGACAAACCGGAGGAAGGUGGGGACGACGUCAAAUCAUCAUGCCCCUUAUGACCUGGGCUACACACGUGCUACAAUGGAUGGUACAACGAGUCGCGAAACCGCGAGGUUUAGCUAAUCUCUUAAAACCAUUCUCAGUUCGGACUGUAGGCUGCAACUCGCCUACACGAAGUCGGAAUCGCUAGUAAUCGCGGAUCAGCAUGCCGCGGUGAAUACGUUCCCGGGCCUUGUACACACCGCCCGUCACACCAUGAGAGUUUGUAACACCCAAAGCCGGUGGGGUAACCUUUUAGGAGCUAGCCGUCUAAGUG
This 1091-nucleotide ribosomal RNA is filed under the name Pediococcus acidilactici. RNAcentral's name for it is "bacterial SSU rRNA". It matches the Rfam family "Bacterial small subunit ribosomal RNA", at positions 380 to 1464 of the family's 1533-position model. Lineage: Bacteria; Bacillati; Bacillota; Bacilli; Lactobacillales; Lactobacillaceae. The record is from RNAcentral.